RNAcentral lists this ribosomal RNA (492 nucleotides) under uncultured bacterium. RNAcentral's name for it is "partial 16S ribosomal RNA". It matches the Rfam family "Bacterial small subunit ribosomal RNA", at positions 29 to 507 of the family's 1533-position model. The record is from RNAcentral.
AGUGAACGCUGGCGGUAGGCCUAACACAUGCAAGUCGAACGGCGGCACAGUAAGAGCUUGCUCUUACGGGUGGCGAGUGGCGGACGGGUGAGGAAUACAUCGGAAUCUACUUUUUCGUGGGGGAUAACGUAGGGAAACUUACGCUAAUACCGCAUACGACCUACGGGUGAAAGCAGGGGAUCUUCGGACCUUGCGCGAUUGAAUGAGCCGAUGUCGGAUUAGCUAGUUGGCGGGGUAAAGGCCCACCAAGGCGACGAUCCGUAGCUGGUCUGAGAGGAUGAUCAGCCACACUGGAACUGAGACACGGUCCAGACUCCUACGGGUGGCAGCAGUGGGGAAUAUUGGACAAUGGGCGCAAGCCUGAUCCAGCCAUACCGCGUGGGUGAAGAAGGCCUUCGGGUUGUAAAGCCCUUUUGUUGGGAAAGAAAAGCAGCAGGUUAAUACCCCGCUGUUCUGACGGUACCCAAAGAAUAAGCACCGGCUAACUUCGUG